UCUCCCGUGAGGGAGCAGUCUCGCCUGGCCAUAUAGGCAACAGGCAACGGGGGUUGCGUUCGUUACCCCACUGAAGGGAACAGUUCAAACCACGAACUGACGACGACCAUGCAUCACCUGUUCAGCACCCUCGAAGGCUCCUCGCCUUUCGGCAAGAAUGCAGCUGAAUGUCUAAUCUUGGUAAGGUUCUUCGUUUGCUUACGAAUUGAGCCACAUAAUCCACUGCUUGUGCGAGUCCCCGUCUAUUCCUUUGAGUUUUAAUCUUGCGAUCGUACUACCCAGGCGGCUCGCUUACCGCGUUAGCUUAGUCUCACAGAGGGUCGAUACUCCGUAAAACGAGCGAGCAACGUUGAGGGCCAGGACUAC
RNAcentral lists this unclassified non-coding RNA (366 nucleotides) under uncultured bacterium. RNAcentral describes it as "contains 16S-23S intergenic spacer region". The record is from RNAcentral.